Molecule: long non-coding RNA, 2660 nt
Filed under: Homo sapiens (human)
Lineage: Eukaryota; Metazoa; Chordata; Mammalia; Primates; Hominidae
Description: HSALNT0280495
Rfam family: U5 spliceosomal RNA (bases 468-582)
Source: RNAcentral
UGGAGCCUGGAUUUAUGAUUGGGAGUUUUCCUUCUGAGUACAAUGCCCUGCACAUCUAAGAUUUGUUUUCAAAGAGAAAUGGAACUAUCUGACAUAUUUCUGACUUGGUUUUUAAUUCCUCUUGUCCUCGUGUUAGUCUCAUAUAGAAAGUGUAGAGGAGAGAUGAGGAGUAGGGAGGAGAAGAGGUGGGGACAGGAAAUGGAAAGUAGCAAGAAAAGGGGAAAUGUAGAAGAGAGGGAAGGGGGAGGGAGAUGGGGAGAGGGAGGAGGGAAGAGGCAUGGCAAGAGGAAGUGGGAAAGGGAGUUGGGGAGGAUAAGUCACAGACUGAGCAACCACAGUUCCUCACACUGUGCUUGAUUAUUUCCGUAGAGGUCAAUCCAUUUACUUCUUAUAAUCUGUGAGCUGAGUCAGGAAGCUUGCAACUCAGUAAGGCAGAAGCCUUAGAUUCACACAGCCAAUAAUAUUGGAUGCUCUGGUUUCUCUUCAGAACAAAUAAAUAUUUGGCCUUUUACUAAAGAUUUCCAUGGAGAGGAACAAUUAUUAAUUAAUAACCAAAUUUUUGAGGUCCUGCUUAGGCAGGGCCAAGUAAAUAAUAAUAAAUAAAUAAAUAAAUAAAUAAAUAAAUAAAUAAUGAUUAGAUUAAACUCCAGAUCUUUCUGACUCUGAAACCAACUUUCUCCUAGUGCCCACCUCUGGGAACUGGAAUUCCCAAAGGCAGUAAUUUAUUAAGGAGCGGGGUCCGGGGCAAUACGAUGGGGACCCCAAAUAUGCAGGGUAUGCAAGGGCAAGAUUAAAGGAAACUAACAAGGAAUGGUGCAUUACCUUGGCGUUAGCAACUUCCUGAGAACUAAGCUCUGGGAGAGGGCUACCCAGGCACCACAACCGUCAAUACAAGAAUGCACUAAUGACAGCCUACAGGGAGGCAGGGUAGGGGUCACAAUAUAUCACCCACCCUUGUCUACAACCCUCCUCCAAAGCUCCUCCAUGGAAAACUCUCAUUUGCCACCAAAAAGAAGAGUAUUUGAUCAUUUUUGACUAGGCUUGCUAACAAUUUCAUUGAACAGAAGGUAACAAAAGAAAUGCGACAGACACUUCAUUCUGAACAGUCAAGAACAAUUGAUUAAACAGAAGUGUGAAGAACCUUUGAAUAAAGGGAUUGAUUGUGUUAUCUGAAAAUCCAAAGGCAAGGAAGGUAAAACUGGUUGUAGACUUUAGGAAAACACAUUUCUACUGAUGCACAGAAAAGAUAGAAUCACAGAAGAAAUAGUAUCAGGGGACUCUAAUCCAAGCUAGAAGCUCUGAAAAUAUACUUCUGGCUAUUUAAUAAGAAUACCAUAGGCCAGGCAUGGUGGCUCACGCCUGUAAUUCCAGCACUUUGAGAGGCUGAGGUGGGCAGAUGGCUUGAGCCCAGGUGUUCAAGACCAGCCUGGGCAACACAGGGAGACCCUACUUCCACGAAAAAUACAAAAGUUAGCUGGGCACGGUGGUGCAUACCUGUGGUCCCAGCCACUUGGGAGGCUGAGGUGGAAGGAUCGCUUGAGCCCAGGAGGUUGAGGCUGCAUUGAGCCGUGAUCAUGCCACUGCACUCCAGCCUGGGCCACAGAGCGAGACCCUGUCUCAAAAAAAAAAAAAAAUUGUAAUACUGUUUAAAACUAGAGAAAUAAUUUAAUAAACAAAUUUUGCUGUGAGCUCAGGUGUUUAAAAGGAUAAGAAAUGACCACAACAACCUUUCCCACCUCACUUGGACUCUAGGGAAGGUUUCGAGCAUCCUGAACAAGGUGAAAUUCUCACAUACUUGAGGUCAAAGCUCUGAGCAGGAGGACUAAGGGCUCUCUUGAUUCUUUCCUCUGGGCCCCAGCAGAGUGCCACAGGCAUAGGUUGAGAAAUCCCCAUCAGAGCCUGGAGGGGUCCAGGAGAAAGAAAUGGAAGAUGGCUGCUCAAUGAUCACGGGUAUCCAGUCCUUCAGUCAACAAAAAGGGAGCUCUUGACCUUCCUACACAAUCCAUCCCAAGUUCCCAAUGCAGGUGAGCAAUUAGGGAUGCAGAAUAUGCUAGGAAUAGGAGCAUGCAUUUAUCAUCCAGGGUCCUGCCAGGAAACAGAUGGCAAACUCACAUGGGGUAAGUGAGAAAGGUUUAAUAAAGAACUCUCUAUAAAGGCAAGGGCAAGGUUAAAGGAAACUAACAAGGAAUGGUGCAUUACCUUGGGGUUUGCAACAUCCUGAGAACUAAGCUCUGGGAGAGGGCUACCCAGGCACCACAACCAUCAAUACAAGAAUGCAGCUAAUGACAGCCUACAGGGAGGCAGGAUAGGAGUCACAAUAUAUCACCCACCCUUCUCUACCGCCCUCCCCAAAGCCCUGCAUGAGCUGCACAUUGCCAGAGGGCAAAUGAGCCCUGAUGUGGUCCAUGGACCAAGGCAGACAAGAAUGAAGAGUAGACCAGAGGGGCAAACAGAGAGUAGCCAGCACAAUCAUUCUAAAAUUAUGAGCAUAUGCAUGGACUUAGCUACAAGGAUAUUCAUCACAGCAUUAUUUGUAAAAGCAAAUAUAUGGAAAUAACCUAAAUGUUAGAUAGGGAGAAAAAAAUGAUGCCAUACCCACAUGAGGGCAGAGACUAUCUUACCUAUUUUUCUGUAUAAACUGCAGCAAUUGGAAUAAUGCU